This 393-nucleotide ribosomal RNA is filed under the name uncultured bacterium. RNAcentral describes it as "partial 16S ribosomal RNA". It matches the Rfam family "Bacterial small subunit ribosomal RNA", at positions 523 to 918 of the family's 1533-position model. The record is from RNAcentral.
AUACGAAGGAUCCGAGCGUUAUCCGGAUUUAUUGGGUUUAAAGGGUGCGCAGGCGGGAGAUUAAGUCGGCGGUGAAAUUUUGCAGCUCAACUGUAAAAGUGCCUUCGAAACUGGUUUCCUUGAGUGUAGAUGAAGUAGGCGGAAUUUGUGGUGUAGCGGUGAAAUGCAUAGAUAUCACGAGGAACUCAGAUUGCGCAGGCAGCUUACUAAACUACUACUGACGCUCAGGCACGAAGGCGUGGGGAUCAAACAGGAUUAGAUACCCUGGUAGUCCACGCAGUAAACGAUGAUUACUAGCUGUUUGCGAUACAAUGUAAGCGGCUGAGCGAAAGCGUUAAGUAAUCCACCUGGGGAGUACGUUCGCAAGAAUGAAACUCAAAGGAAUUGACGGGG